UCAGCCCCGGCGCCCCCAAGGCCACCGCACCCCCUGCGCAGAGCAGCGCCCACAGCCCCUUCCCCGGGGCUCUCGCCCGUCGCGCCCCUGCGGAACGAGGGGGACUGCAUCGCCGCGGGCAGCUGGAGCCGUUCCGGGACGGGCGCGGACCGAGCCCGGCGCUGCCGCUCCUGCCCCGACUGUGCCGGUGCGGGACGGGGCCCCACCGGGGCUCGGUUCUGCUCGGGCCGCUCAUCCGACACCUGCCAGGUGAGACCUGAUGCUCUCCCUCCUUCCCUCAACUUUCCUUGUGGCUCGCACUCUCCCAUGCAAAAAACCUCUGGGUUUAAAAAACCAGUGAAAACUGCUCAUUGUUUAUUUCCAGGUCAUCAGAUAUCCUGAGUGGGAAGGCACACACAAGGAGUACCAGGCUGAACCCUUAUGUGAAGGGCUCAGCUGGGGAUUGAACCCACAACCUGGGCAUUUUCAGCACCCUGCUCCAACCAAGCCAAUCUCAGGUCACGGCAAUGUCCUGCCUGGGACGGGAAUGCCAAGUUCGAGCAGGGGAAUUCCUAGGCCAAUGCAGCUCUUUCUUUUAUGCCAAUGCUGCCUUACACACCAGCCCCUGGAAUGUCCAUAAGGCAGAGCUCCAUAGCCAGCACCUGACCAUGGAACAACACAGGGAGAAACGAGCAAGACAAGUCCUGAGGGCUCCCUUGGUCCAAGGCCAAAGUUCUGGAGAGUGUCAGGGCUGGUCCCACCUGCAGAGGGACGUUUCCUGCAGUGAGAAGAAGAUGAACUCACCACCAUUAAGGCCUGGCAGUUCCCUGCAGCGAGAGCUCAGUGCACAUCCAGGGAGGCAAUUCCAGCAUCUGAAAGAAAGAAAGGAAGAAAAAGGCACUUCUGCAAUCCAGCCCUGAAGCUGAGAAGCCCAAAAGCUCGGGAGUCUGCUCUGGAACAAAAGGAUACUCCCAGGGCAGGAAAUCCCCAGGGGGAACAGAAACUCUCAGGGUGCACAAAAUGCAGCAUCUGUGACCCUGAUCCUGCCUGAGCUCAGCGUGUGGGGCCAACCCCCCAAGGAGCUGCAAGAGGAAUGUCAGUCGUCGGCUUCACCUCCUCGGCGUUGCCUCGUUAGUCCAGGAGAUAAUUAAUUCAAAGAGAAUUAAUCUGGUCAGUGGCAGAUUAUCCCAGCGAAACAUCAUCCUUGCCACAGGAUAUUCCGACCCCUGUGGGCAGUUCUCUGAUCAAGAACUACUUCCUAAACUCAGUCAUUCCAUCUAAACCACAGCAGCACAGUUUGGAGUGACAGAAGUUUUCAGCCUUGUGUGAACGAAGACAGAAACAUCACUGGGAGAAAAUCCUGAAGUUUAAAAUCCUAUUCCUCACUUCUUUGACCAAUGAACCUCUUAAAAUCCAGUCUGAAUUGUGCAGAAAAGUUCCUUGGUCCCACCUGGAAAUUGAUUUCCCCCAAACCCAUUGAACAGUUAUUACAACUGAUUCCAUUAAUUACUAUGGAAAAGACAAUACAAAUAAACUGGAAAAAACAUUUGA
This is a long non-coding RNA of Haemorhous mexicanus (house finch), 1530 nucleotides long. RefSeq lists it as uncharacterized. The transcript has 6 exons. NCBI's taxonomy places the organism in Eukaryota, Metazoa, Chordata, Aves, Passeriformes, Fringillidae. The record is from RefSeq and is a predicted model, not a curated record.